Long non-coding RNA from Centrocercus urophasianus (Greater sage-grouse), 9033 nucleotides. RefSeq lists it as uncharacterized. The record is from RefSeq and is a predicted model, not a curated record. The transcript has 3 exons. Lineage: Eukaryota; Metazoa; Chordata; Aves; Galliformes; Phasianidae.
UCAUAGCUCUUUGUUUCUAUGCACACUAUUUUCAGAUUCGUAGUGCCUUCCAAUAAUAAGCCCAUUGGAGGUAUAGUUUUGUUAUAUAAUGUUAAGGAACUUGGUAGAGAUGUCUCAAUUCCUAGUGUAAUUUUGUACAGUUUUAUGAAUUAAGAUGACGUUAGCAGGUGGCAUAAUAGGUGAUAUAUAUAAUUGAAGCUAUGGGUAGCUAUUAUCCUUUCUAGAAGGAAAGCUUGUACAUGACUUGAAUGAGAAAUUAAAACUGAAAAAAGGGGAAUGUUUUAUAUAAUACUGUAUCUGAUACUUUUCGAGCCCAUAGUGAUGGUGUGCAAAAUCACAGGUAUGGAUUACAAUGCAGAAAUGCUGUGAAAUAAAACCAUACUGUGAGGUACCUGUGAGCCACGGUACCAGGCAUGCCCAUUUUGCUCUGCUUGUGUUACACAGCAAAGACAUGUACCUUUGGUCUGGUACUUGCUCAAAUGCUAAAUGUUAUAAUCAUGUAAAUAACCUCAUGAGUGGAAAAAAAAGAAGGUGGGGAUCUGGGACAGUCAUUAUCCUUUUGAAAGCCGUGAUAACACUUAGCAUGUCUGAAAGUAAUGUAAGCACUGAGUGUAAGUGCUAUGCUGGAUAAUAGCCAGAGCACUCCACACACAGCAGACUACAGCGUCUGUUUUCUUGCAGCAGCAACUACUGACACUGUAGACAAACCAUCUACAUUUAUCUUGCUGCCAGUUUCAGACCCUUUCCUGCUGGCACUGUUGCUUCCACUCAUUCUGAAUUGCACUUUAAGGCAAAACAAAAGUCCCUGUCAAUGAGAGAAACAAAAAGUAAGUCCAUAAUAAAUAGUACCAUGUGGGCACAAGGACUCAAGCAGAAAGGGAGAAGGAAGAGCAAAUUCUGAAUUUUGUAGUGGCAGAACAUAAAAGUAUUCCUAGAGAGCAGCUGCAGUGCUGGGAUCCCCAAUCAGAUAAUUUCCUUGAGGCUUAAGGGAGCCAAGAGCUUUAGCCACCGUUGACAAAUGGCCACUUUUACAGUCUGUUUUGGCUUUCAGGAUUUUCUGUCGUAUAAAAGGGAAGCUACCAUUCAAAUGUAAGUGAUGGGCUUAGGGCAGAAAUUAAAGUAGAGCCUUCUGUGCUUGUGUUAUGUGGGAAGACAGAUGAAACAGCCAGAGAGGUCCCUUCUGGCUUGAAGAGAUCUGGGAGCUGUGCAUAAAAGAUUAUGGCUUCCCACACAAGCUAGGUCAAGUGUGCAGGAUAGAUCUUGAGGGAGUUUUGAAAGCAGAGCGUUAGGGCCUGGCAGGUCAGAAAGGGUAUCCCUCAGAGAAUAAAUUAGUGUCAAGCUCCUAAAAUAAAUCAUAUUUGGAAAUACACAAGUGACCCAUUUGCUUUAGUUACGUUUGUCCCAAACUUGUAUGUGAUUUCCCAUAAAGUUUGAAUACAUGCGUGGCUAUAGAGGGUAAAUUCUAAACUUUCAUGAGCAACUGAUAAUGUAUUUUAAACUCAUCUGUGCCAAAACUAUAUAACAUGUGGGGCACAGCGGCUCCAAAACACUUGUUCUCUAUGCCAGAGUUUAGACAACCAAAUAAAUCAGACAAGCAUCUGGCCUCAUUGUUGCAGUCAGAACUAGACAUGAGGAAUUACUUUGUAUGAAUGUGAUGAGACAAAAUUAAAUUUAAACUUCUAACAUAGUCAAUAAAUUUUACAAUAGUCUAAUUUUUCAAGGAACCUUGCCUCAAGCAAGAGCCACAAUGGGAAAGAUAUAUAUAUAGUUCUUAACUUCUAAUGCUGAAUAUCUGUUUUCUCCAUUUAAUAGAUUCAGUGCUUCAUCAGUUCUAUAAUUGCACUUACCCAGUUAAGAACUAGAAGUACGAAGGCUGCUCUGAAAGUAAUGCCUCCUAUUUUGCAAUAUUGGCCCAUGACAUCAGAGGUGGAUGGUGGGGGUAUGGCAAUGGAGACAGAACCAUCUCAACAAUAUUCCAUUACACUAAUAAGUCAUAUAAACAUCAGCUUUUCAUCCAUCCUGCAAAUAGCACAAGAAAGUGUCUCCAUCAGUGACUGAGAUGUGAUGUGAAAGCUCCACCUAUUUUAAAUCCAUACAGUUCUCUCUUCACACGUAUUUGUUAUUCAUGACCUUUCAAAUAUUACUGUAUUCAGAUGGUAGUCUUGACGCAUUCAACCUAUGGACCAUCUACCUGUGGAGGAAGAUAUACGAGUCUGCCUUGUCAUCAGAAACUUCUCUGAGAGGAAGGCCAACACAAUGCUUUCCAUGGAGAUGUUUACAAGGUUUGUAAAGGGCUGAAAGGCAUUUGGGACCACAGAGCUUGUGAAUAACUGGAAGGCUGCCCAGGAGAUCAAGGAUGUAUAUUGACUUAAAGAGAGAAAACAGGUUGGCAUGGAUGGAAGCUGAAACUUAUUCUCAGGAGAGGCAAGAAGGAUUGCCAGUUACACAAUUUCAAUUCUGUAUUUUCACUUUUCUUGUAAUGUUUCAACCUACAGUAUCAGUUUCUUUAGUGAAAGAGUCAAAGCUACACAACUGUGCUGCAUCAAACAGGGCACUGAGUUGGUCAGCUGAACAUCCAGAGACUGCAGUGCCAGAAAGCAAGCUAAAGUAUGGAUAAACACUUCACUGUUUUUUGCUAGUGCUUCAGCCCAUUUCCCGGUCUUGUUUACUUUACAGAUAUGUAUGUAGCCACCUGUCUGCCAAAGCUGUAACUUUUCCAUGAAGUCAUAUUUAUUAGUAGAAUAAUGAAUGAGACAGAUAAUCAAUUCUGCAUUUCAAAUAUGGCCUCAUUAGUGCCCUUGUUUAGUGUCAGGGAGAAAAUAUCUAGCAGGUUGCUUGGCAUUUCUCUUCUCACUUUUGGGAAUUACAUUCCCCUUGCUUUAUAUUCUUCACCUAUUGUGUUGAAUUUGAUUCUAGCCAGUAAACCUAUAAUCCUUAGCUUGCAUCAUGCUGUAUGUUUAUGAAUUUUGACUGGUUGUUUCUUUCCCUGUCCCUCGGAUUUGCUAACCUGUUACUCCAAGUUGUGUAAACUGCUUAGUCAACCUAAGCUUGUUCUGAAGAGCAGCUGAGGACACUGCUGUGGUCCCCAUGCCAUGCACAGCAUGAACAUUGCAGCUGGGCAGAAGUAUUUAUUCAUAUGAGUGUUUCUCAUCUUAAUGUAACUUACUAUCUGUUUGCAAAUGCACUAUGAUCUUCCCAUUCUUGGCUUCUUCUCUCAUUAUGCUUCAGAGCUUCUGUGUCAUUGAUUGUUCCUUGCAGCCUAAGAGAAUCAUUUCCUUUAAAGCAGUUCCAGCCUAAAGCACUUUACACCUGUCUCCUCAUUUUUGUCAAUCACUUGUUGUUACCCCAAACCCAUCUCCUUUGAUCUCAAUCCAGUUGUGUUUUUGUAUUUGUUUGUUUGCACCAGAACUUCAACAAAAGAACAGAUCUGGACUGCAAACGACUUCAUUUUAUGUUAAGAAGGCAUCAUUAGCAGUUAUAUUGCACGGUAUGGCUGAUGAUCUUUUGCAGCAAUAUGAAAACACCAGAGAAAAGGUUGAGCCUGAGAAGGAACAACUGUGACUAAUCAGUGAAGUAUAUAAGCAGACACUGCAUCAGGGAAAUGGCAUAUAGAAGCCUCACUCAAUAAAAGUAUCUUUUGUAUGAUAUUUUUAAAUGAUUGUACAAACUACAGAAGUCUGGUAGCAUCUUUUAUACCUACAUAAUUUUCCAAAACCAGCUGAUGGAAACUGAAACUACCAAGUUUCAGAGCAGUACUCUGAUUUUUCUGUUCUCUCUUAGGAGGACUUAUCACCACCACAUUUUUCUCUCCCUUUUUCUCCUUUGUAUCUUUACUCUUACAACUUACAGUUAUAAUUCUCUCGAUUUAGUAAUUAGUCUUUGUCACCUCAUUAAUUUUAAUUUAACAAGACUCUUCACCUUCAUCUAGGAAUCACUGCCUUUGUAUUUGGGAAUUUUUAAGUCAUGUAUUAUGGUAUCUUUCAGUCAUGCAUGAUCAGCAUCUAGGUGACUACGAGUCAUUUUUUAAAAAGUUUUGUCUUUGGUCUGCUAUUACUGCAGUAUUGUUUUUAAGUUAAUUCAUCCUUUCUUAUCUAAACUUUCUAAAUUGUGAAUGAAAUAAUGAAUAGAAAUACAAAUUCCCCAUUUUUUGAAAGCAUUGUACCUGAAAAUUCAUAAUGUAGAUAAUUUGUUAGGAUUCAUUUAUAUUUGAAAAUGCGUGCAAAUUGAGAUAAUUUGCCAUGAAUCAGUGUGUCGUCAUGUAACUCAGAACCCCAACCAAAUUGUAAUGUCUCAUCUGAGUGUUAGUCUCAGUUCAUUAAUUGCAUAGUAUUCUUCUGAUUUUACAUCAUUAGCUUUUAUUUUUUGAAGUUCAGUAAGUAAAUAUGUGAUGAUCUGAACAUUCCCUUCAUUGCUUUCUUUUAUUUCUAAAAUGAAAUAUUUGAACAAACAGAUUUCUCAGUCUUCCUUCUAAUCUGAUCCACUUCUGCAUCUAAGUACUAAAAGUGAAAAAUUAACUGUAGUAAAUUUCAACAUGAAACUACAAUAACAACUGUCUUGCUUUUCAUAUCUAACUUCCAGUAUGACAUAUUUAAUUAUGGUAAAUCCUCUAAGGAUAGUUUUUCUAAUAUCUCAAAGCACCCAUCAGGACUGGGAAAAGGGCAUUGUAUUUUACUGGGAGCAUGCGUGGUGUGCUGGGUACCAGCCAGGCAAAUAGACUUAAGUCAGUGAUGCAGUUUCAGCUAACAUCAGGAGUUUCUUUCCAGUGUUUUUGUGCACGAUGAAGUGUUCUUUCAUGUGUGGGCAGAGCCAAGAACUAUGUAGAGUAAGGAAAUAUUUGAUAUGAAACCAGCAAUAUAGUAUCCAUUGGGUUACUAAAUUGAUAAUUACAUAAUGCUGUGCUGGAUGUAGUCAUUUUCAUUUCAGAAGCAGCAUGAGAUUGACAUAAUGACCUUCUUAGCAGUAUCGUUUUUAACCACUGGUUCUCAGCUGAGUAUUACUUGCUACCUUUGAGAUUCCUUCAUUCUCUUUUCUGAUAAUAAAGGAAUUACCCUCUUUUUCCUUCCUUCCAUUGAAAUAUAAGCUGACCUAAAUAUUUAUGCCUUUUGGGUAACCAUCCUGUGGGGAAUUAGUGUUUGUCAAUUUAAUUACUUAACUUUUUUCUUUUCUUUAAAUGGCUUCUGUAGUAUUUCUAUUUAUUUUUUAAAUUGUUUAAAUAACUUGAUUCCACCAUUUUUUUCUUCAAUUUUCACAAUCAGCACAGCCAUAUCCAAUAAAAAACAUAGACAAUGAUUAAUUUUCUCAAACAUUAAGAAAAGAUCAUUCAUUUGUUGGUAUUGCCUCCCCAUCCCAUUUAAAAAUGAACAAACAAAUGCAGAACUCAAAAGAUGUGUCUGGGGGAGAAAUACCAGUUGCAUUCAUCUUACUUCCUUUGUCCCAUGGGAACAAAUGGGUAAAAGAAAAUAGACAUAAACUUCAGUUUCUGGAUGAUAGAUUUUACCUAUGAGAAGCACAUCAAGUGGUUCACUUUACUUGUAUGGGCAGAGAAAUUUGGAAAACAAGACCAUCUGCAUGCAAAUUUUUUUUCUUUUACUGUAGAUUUGUACCAGAGUAAAUUUGUUAACUUCAUUUGGCUUUAUUCCAGGUUUUGAUUAAUGUGCAAUAAGUAAUAAGCUCAAACAAGAUGUUGUUAAUACAAGGAUGACUAUGCUAACAGCAAAUACUCAGAGAGGCCGUGAAAGUGGAGAUUAAUUUAAAUGCCACUAGACAGAGAUUCAAACAGCUCAGCUCCCAGAACAACGCUUCUUCUCUUCCUCCUGAGGAGCAUGGCGUAUGAGGGCAGCAUAACCAAACCAAACUUCAACCAUACUGCAGAAGUUUAUGAGGAUCACCUUCUCCAAAAAAUUGGAUCCUUGUAAUAGAAAGCACACUGUAAUUGGAGAAAAAAAAAAAAAAUUCCUUCUCAAAUUCCCCUCCCUGGUAAAUUCUCAGUGCCCUUCUGUCAAGGUUUCAGUAAUUGACUGCAUUUGGCUUUGUGAAGAUAUUUUGAAGCAAAUAUAUUCACACUCAAGUAAUUGGGGUUUCUUUUAUUUUAAUUUAUUGUUACAAAAAGCAGCAUGAAAAAUGCAAAAGAGGAAAAUUUCCCAUGUCUCCAUGAAAUAAUAUUGCAAAUUACCCAUAAUCUGAUUUUAUAAAUAUUUGGGCCUUAUAUAUAUUGGGAUUAUUAUUAUUAUUACACACUUUACCAUGUACUCUCUGAAUCAUAGAUUUUUAUAAAACUCUAAUUUAAGAAUUGAUGACCAUGCGGAAUACAUAAUAAAGUCCAAAACAAAGAACUAAUAAUUACUUAAUGCACAAAAAGAAUCACUGAAGAUAUAGACUGUUUCUUCUCAAAGUCCAUUCUGGCUUCUACAGAUAACAGAAGAGAGAUAGAAAUUCUUACUCUUAUGUGUACUUUCUUACUUUCAACUGAUAUCAUAGCAAAAUGUUAAACCAGGCAUUAGUCUUCAUUAAAUCUGUCAGUAUAAGAGUCAAUAAAGGAGGCACAAGAACUUCAAUAAAUAAGCUUGUCUUAAAGAAUAUACCUUUUCUCAAGCUGUCUUUAUUGGGCAAUUUUUUAAGUUUUACUUUUAACCAUACUUUUCUUAUUGUUAUUGAUGACGUACCUUCAUCUUUAUCAAUGUUUAUUUUAUCCUAAAGAAAUAUAUUUGUAUUCUGCCACUGAAGUUUGGAUGAAAAAUCUUACAAUAAAAAUCAUGUGUAUUUACAAACAAUCACAUAAACUGUCCAGAAUCAAAAGGGCUUUUUGCUGAAUAUCAUGGGAACCGAACUUAGUCUCUGAAGUCAUAUUGAAGAAAAUGUGAUCUCUGCAAGAGAAACAUGCUAGGGGUAAUUUCUUUCAUUCACUACCUUCUGUCUUGCAGAGAAUACCUUAUGUACUAACAUAUGGGAGCAGGGAAAUUGAGUCUACUCUUGUUGCAGAAGCACUGUAUGAAAUGAUUUACUUAGUUGGGUGGGUAGAUAAAUCAUAAUUAGUAAGACCACCAUCAGCUGACAUGUAUGAAGAUAGGUACUGCCUUUUUCAUUGUUGUCUACAUAUUAUAAUCUUACAGUCGUUAUUUAUUGAAGUUGGCCUCUAGCACGUAGCUUUUCUUGUGCAAUUCCUAACAAUCUCCAGGGGUGAUUUCAACAGCAGCUGCUACUUUUAAUAGUGUAAGCAAGCAAGGAAGGAAGAUGCUUUUGGCUAUGAAUGCGAAUGAUUAGCUCAGGAUGUAAUUUGUAUCUCAGAAUUGUUUUGAUAGCUCAGCAUUUUCUUGGCUUUUUAUCUUUCCCCAAUGAAAUAACAGUCUUUUCAACUUCAAAUAAGUCCUGUCUAUCUUGGAGUUACACAAAUGAUAUCAUGAAGAAUUCAACAUUGCCGCUACUCAUAUAUUAAAACUAGUAAGUAAUCAACGAAAUAUUUAAGACAAAUUCAAACUCUCAAACUUCUACUUAAAUCAUCUUUUAAAUAUCCACAGAUGCACAAGUCUAAGAAAAGCGCACUAGAGCCAAAGUCAGCUUUUCAAACAUUGUUGUUUAUUGCGAUAGAUUUAGAUUGCAAAAAUUCUGUUUAAGUCCUUAGCUGAUAUAUUUCAUGGCUGCUUUUGGAAGAUUUCCUGUGUCAUGCUGUAGCAGGGUCUCCAAAUUGUUCCUUCUGUCCUACUGAAAAAAAUUAUCAUUAUCGUGCUUUGCACACGUGGGCAAUAUUUAGGCCAAUUGAUUAUUGGAUAUUAUGACACAGUACAAGCUGGUUGAAUAAGGCGAUUUUUUCCUCCUUUAUGCAGGUGAGAAUUGUGAAAUGCAAAUGAAUCGGGAGAAAAAGAAACAGUCUCAAAUGGCACAGUAGUUAUUUCUGAUUAUGAACAAAAGCAAAGCCAAAGGUGAGGACUACAACUCUGGUAGCCUAUGAUUUUUUUCUCUUUAUGUGGCCCAAUUCAUUCCAAAUUACAGUCCCUUUGAUUCUACUGGAUCUAGGGUUUAUGUUGACCUUUUCUUCGUGACUGCCAAUACCAGCUUCCUUUCAAAGAAGUGUAAAGUUAAUUGGAACAAAUCUAGUGUUUCACAGUGAAAAAUUGCCUCAAAAAUAUUGAAAUUACUUUUUUUCUUGACAGACCUUUUCUUAAUUCUCUGCUUUGGCUUCAUGGUAUAGAAAACAAGCCAGGAAGUGACUGCCAUGCAGAACUUCUAUUGGCAGUUCUCUGUGCUGACUAGUACAAAGAAUUAGGAAUAGCAUUCUUAAAUUAAAAAAUAUCUAAUAUUUACCAUAUUUUUGUUAAUAAACUAUAUUUCUUCAGUAUAGUAACAUUACAGCAGCUUCAGAAAUGUUUAUUUAUGAGGAAAAAAUGUCAUUCUCACUGUAUUUAAUGCCUACAUUUUUGGUGUUUUUUGUAAUGCCUACAUUUUUUACCCUUAGGGUUUGCUUGCAGGGAUCAGAGAAAGGAUGUUCUUUUACUAAACAUUUCCCUAAAUUUUCACCUGCUGUCAUUAACCCCAGAGGACUUGAAUAACAUUACCUGAUAAUGUAAUUUCAGUUAAAAGCAAAUAAUUGGCACUUGUUUGAGGUUGAGGACUGUAAGAUGCUUUUCAAAACACUGGGGCUCAUGAGAGAAAGGAUUUUCCUCAUGACAGCUAUAAGUAUUUCUGUUUACAGUAUGAAGAUCAUGUAUGUAGAUAUAUAUAUUUAAAUUAGGAAUAACACUGGAUUCUGGAAAGCUGUUGUUUAAUCACAGGCUACUUUACCACUAAUUUGCCAGUCUUAACAGACUGAACUUUUUGCUUUGACCAGGGCAGGGUUGUUAAAAUGUGCUUUAUGGGAUGGGGGUUAAGAAAGACAGUGACUAUUGUUUGUUGUUUUUUUUUCUCCUGCUUUUAAUGUCUACAAGAAAUUAGAUGAUGGUGGUACAUAAAUUUUACAUUAACUACAUUUGUAUUGUUGUAUUUAAAAAAGCAUUGCUAAAAUGGAAUGUAGCAUGCAUGUGGAACGGCAGCAUUAUUAUA